Leucoraja erinaceus (little skate) is the source of this 450-nucleotide long non-coding RNA. RefSeq lists it as uncharacterized. The transcript has 2 exons. The record is from RefSeq and is a predicted model, not a curated record. Lineage: Eukaryota; Metazoa; Chordata; Chondrichthyes; Rajiformes; Rajidae.
GUGUCUCUCUCUGGCAGCAACACCAUCAUUCCACACACACCACCCUUCCGUGCCUUCGAGGUGACAUCACAUCAUCCAGCUAGUUAAAGGGGGGUGUUAAACACGACGGCAGGCACCGAGGAGCAGAAACUGAGUGGCUCGUACGGCAUUCCAUUACCAAGUUCAACCAAAGUAAGGACUAUAAAAUAUCAACUCCCGUUUUAGACUUAUGUGCCCUUACAGAUGGAAGAAUACAGUUAUAUUGCAGUGAAACCUUCAGACUAUCAAAUCAAUAAACCAAGAGAUCAAAUUACACGCAGUGUGACAGCUCGAAUGAACAUUCCAGCGCCCGGUGCUCUGCGACAAGGCACAGACAGCGGACUGUCAAAUGCUUUAAUCAACCCGCAUUCUGUUGCUGUCUGCAAUAUUCAUUGUAACCAUCGGCAAGAAGGAUAAAACACAUGCUGGGAA